Molecule: ribosomal RNA, 468 nt
Filed under: uncultured bacterium
Lineage: Bacteria
Description: partial 16S ribosomal RNA
Rfam family: Bacterial small subunit ribosomal RNA
Source: RNAcentral
GACGAACGCUGGCGGCGUGCUUAACACAUGCAAGUCGAACGGAAAGACCCUGCUUUUGUGGGGUGCUCGAGUGGCGAACGGGUGAGUAACACGUGAGUAACCUGCCCUUGACCUUGGGAUAACUUCAGGAAACUGGGGCUAAUACCGGAUAGGAGCUCCUGCUGCAUGGUGGGGGUUGGAAAGUUUCGGCGGUUGGGGAUGGACUCGCGGCUUAUCAGCUUGUUGGUGGGGUAGUGGCUUACCAAGGCUUUGACGGGUAGCCGGCCUGAGAGGGUGACCGGCCACAUUGGGACUGAGAUACGGCCCAGACUCCUACGGGAGGCAGCAGUGGGGAAUAUUGCACAAUGGGCGGAAGCCUGAUGCAGCAACGCCGCGUGCGGGAUGACGGCCUUCGGGUUGUAAACCGCUUUCGCCUGUGACGAAGCGUGAGUGACGGUAAUGGGUAAAGAAGCACCGGCUAACUACGUG